GGACUUGGUGUGCAGCUGUGCAACCUUUUAAAUUAUAAAGAGGGACAAACAAUAAAACCACUUUACUGGGAAAAUCCAGCUUCCAUGGUCUUUGUUCUGGAAAUGAGGAAGGUCAAGGUCAGAGUGCCACCAAGAUCUGGGGCUUCUUCAAAAAGAAACUGCUCUCAUGUUGGCCGUUUCUCACCCUGGACA
Jaculus jaculus (lesser Egyptian jerboa) is the source of this 192-nucleotide long non-coding RNA. RefSeq lists it as uncharacterized. Lineage: Eukaryota; Metazoa; Chordata; Mammalia; Rodentia; Dipodidae. The record is from RefSeq and is a predicted model, not a curated record. The transcript has 3 exons.